This is a long non-coding RNA of Planococcus citri (citrus mealybug), 848 nucleotides long. RefSeq lists it as uncharacterized. The record is from RefSeq and is a predicted model, not a curated record. Lineage: Eukaryota; Metazoa; Arthropoda; Insecta; Hemiptera; Pseudococcidae. The transcript is spliced from 3 exons.
GUGUGAUGAUAAUGAGUGCAAUAGAUUUAAAGAGAAUGCCGUUAUCUACUUUUUCGAAGACAGGAAACGAAUUUCAGAUUAGGUGGAAGCGAUGAUUACUGAUUACAGGCUUCCAUAGAAAACAUGAAAAAUUUUUUGUGUGAAUUCGUUCAUUUCAAUCGAAAUCGAGCUCAAACCUUACCAGAGAGAAAAAAAUCGCAUCCUCAUGAUUAAUUGGUGGGUGGCAAUUUCGGUCAGUAAUGUGAAUUUUAUCAACUGCGAAGAUUCUAAGAUGCACUAAAAAUCAUACAGGGAUACUUUGUUUUUUAUGCACUAUGAAAGGCGAAGAUUUUUUCACAACUUCUCCCUCCGAUGGUCAAGGGUUUAUGUACCUUUUCAUGUCAGUUUUUGUGAAAAAAAUAAAAUCUUCAUGUUCAGUUUUAUAAUUUUUUUUUGGAAAUGAUGCUUUAAUCGGAAAAAUUUAUGAGGAAUUUUUUUUCUGGUUAAAAAAAUUCUAAAAACUUUUCCUUGAUUCAAGUGAUGAGCUAAGGGCUGUUUUCAAGUAAAAGAUUUCGAGUUGAAGAAAAUUAGAGAAAAAUCGGUGAAAGUAUUCUUGAAAAGCAAGUUGCUUGUUUGUUUUGUUUCAUUUUUCCAAAUAUUGACCACAUUUUGACUUCAUUAAGGAUACAAAGAGAACAGCAACGUUGAAAUUUGGACUCUUUACUACAUUUUUUUUUUUUAAACUGAAUAGUGCCCAGUUUUGCAGGGGAGGGGGUCCCUCUUGACCCCGUUAGUUCGCCGCACUUUUUUAGUCAUUUCAAUAGAUACGAUUUUUUUUUAAUUUCUGGGAAAGUUAAUUUUUAAUUUUU